Molecule: ribosomal RNA, 474 nt
Filed under: uncultured bacterium
Lineage: Bacteria
Description: bacterial SSU rRNA
Rfam family: Bacterial small subunit ribosomal RNA
Source: RNAcentral
AGAGUUUGAUCCUGGCUCAGAGCGAACGCUGGCGGCAGGCUUAACACAUGCAAGUCGAACGGGCGUAGCAAUACGUCAGUGGCAGACGGGUGAGUAACGCGUGGGAACGUACCUUUUGGUUCGGAACAACACAGGGAAACUUGUGCUAAUACCGGAUAAGCCCUUACGGGGAAAGAUUUAUCGCCGAAAGAUCGGCCCGCGUCUGAUUAGCUUGUUGGUGAGGUAACGGCUCACCAAGGCGACGAUCAGUAGCUGGUCUGAGAGGAUGAUCAGCCACAUUGGGACUGAGACACGGCCCAAACUCCUACGGGAGGCAGCAGUGGGGAAUAUUGGACAAUGGGCGAAAGCCUGAUCCAGCCAUGCCGCGUGAGUGAUGAAGGCCCUAGGGUUGUAAAGCUCUUUUGUGCGGGAAGAUAAUGACGGUACCGCAAGAAUAAGCCCCGGCUAACUUCGUGCCAGCCGCCGCGGUAAUAC